This 465-nucleotide ribosomal RNA is filed under the name Vreelandella stevensii. RNAcentral's name for it is "partial 16S ribosomal RNA". It matches the Rfam family "Bacterial small subunit ribosomal RNA", at positions 338 to 795 of the family's 1533-position model. The record is from RNAcentral. Lineage: Bacteria; Pseudomonadati; Pseudomonadota; Gammaproteobacteria; Oceanospirillales; Halomonadaceae.
CCUACGGAGGGCUGCAGUGGGGAAUAUUGGACAAUGGGGGCAACCCUGAUCCAGCCAUGCCGCGUGUGUGAAGAAGGCCCUCGGGUUGUAAAGCACUUUCAGUGAGGAAGAACGCCUGGUGGUUAAUACCCAUCAGGAAAGACAUCACUCACAGAAGAAGCACCGGCUAACUCCGUGCCAGCAGCCGCGGUAAUACGGAGGGUGCGAGCGUUAAUCGGAAUUACUGGGCGUAAAGCGCGCGUAGGUGGCUUGAUAAGCCGGUUGUGAAAGCCCCGGGCUCAACCUGGGAACGGCAUCCGGAACUGUCAAGCUAGAGUGCAGGAGAGGAAGGUAGAAUUCCCGGUGUAGCGGUGAAAUGCGUAGAGAUCGGGAGGAAUACCAGUGGCGAAGGCGGCCUUCUGGACUGACACUGACACUGAGGUGCGAAAGCGUGGGUAGCAAACAGGAUUAGAUACCCGGGUAGUC